Molecule: ribosomal RNA, 465 nt
Filed under: Vreelandella stevensii
Lineage: Bacteria; Pseudomonadati; Pseudomonadota; Gammaproteobacteria; Oceanospirillales; Halomonadaceae
Description: partial 16S ribosomal RNA
Rfam family: Bacterial small subunit ribosomal RNA
Source: RNAcentral
CCUACGGGGGGCUGCAGUGGGGAAUAUUGGACAAUGGGCGAAAGCCUGAUCCAGCCAUGCCGCGUGUGUGAAGAAGGCCUUCGGGUUGUAAAGCACUUUCAGUGGGGAAGAAAGCCUUGGGGCUAAUACCCUCGAGGAAGGACAUCACCCACAGAAGAAGCACCGGCUAACUCCGUGCCAGCAGCCGCGGUAAUACGGAGGGUGCGAGCGUUAAUCGGAAUUACUGGGCGUAAAGCGCGCGUAGGCGGUCUGAUAAGCCGGUUGGGAAAGCCCGGGGCUCAACCUGGGAACGGCAUCCGGAACUGUCAGGCUAGAGUGCAGGAGAGGAAGGUGGAAUUCCCGGUGUAGCGGUGAAAUGCGUAGAGAUCGGGAGGAAUACCAGUGGCGAAGGCGGCCUUCUGGACUGACACUGACGCUGAGGUGCGAAAGCGUGGGUAGCAAACAGGAUUAGAUACCCGUGUAGUC